GACGAACGCUGGCGGCGUGCCUAAUACAUGCAAGUAGAACGCUGAAGGAGGAGCUUGCUUCUCUGGAUGAGUUGCGAACGGGUGAGUAACGCGUAGGUAACCUGCCUGGUAGCGGGGGAUAACUAUUGGAAACGAUAGCUAAUACCGCAUAAGAGUAGAUGUUGCAUGACAUUUGCUUAAAAGGUGCAAUUGCAUCACUACCAGAUGGACCUGCGUUGUAUCAGCUAGUUGGUGGGGUAACGGCUUACCAAGGCGACGAUACAUAGCCGACCUGAGAGGGUGAUCGGCCACACUGGGACUGAGACACGGCCCAGACUCCUACGGGAGGCAGCAGUAGGGAAUCUUCGGCAAUGGACGGAAGUCUGACCGAGCAACGCCGCGUGAGUGAAGAAGGUUUUCGGAUCGUAAAGCUCUGUUGUAAGAGAAGAACGAGUGUGAGAGUGGAAAGUUCACACUGUGACGGUAUCUUACCAGAAAGGGACGGCUAACUACGUG
RNAcentral lists this ribosomal RNA (495 nucleotides) under uncultured bacterium. Its description in RNAcentral is "partial 16S ribosomal RNA". It matches the Rfam family "Bacterial small subunit ribosomal RNA", at positions 28 to 507 of the family's 1533-position model. The record is from RNAcentral.